AGUUGGUUAAGCAAGUGCGAACAUCGCAAGUGGAAUCGAACCUCAUACGGCAUCGAAACACCGGUGAAAGUUUCUUGUUCUACCCACUGUUAAAUCGGGUGUUCCCCGGUAAUAUCAAUGCAAAAUCGAGGAUUCGAUCAUGGCAACAGGUACAGUUAAGUGGUUCAACGACGCUAAAGGCUUUGGCUUCAUUACUCCGGCUGAUAGCGGCGACGAUCUGUUCGUACACUUCUCCGAAAUCCAAGCUGACGGCUUUAAAACUCUGGCUGAAGGUCAGCAGGUUACUUUUGAAGUAACUCAGGGUAAAAAAGGCCUGCAGGCUUCUAACGUUCGUCCGGCUUAAUCCGAGACAGCGUUAACGCUUGAACAAAGCCCGCUUAGAGCGGGCUUUGUUG
RNAcentral lists this small RNA (395 nucleotides) under Terasakiispira papahanaumokuakeensis. RNAcentral's name for it is "Halomonadaceae bacterium PH27A cspA thermoregulator". It matches the Rfam family "cspA thermoregulator", at positions 106 to 428 of the family's 428-position model. The record is from Rfam by way of RNAcentral. Lineage: Bacteria; Pseudomonadati; Pseudomonadota; Gammaproteobacteria; Oceanospirillales.